UACAGGGGGUGCAAGCGUUGUUCGGAAUCACUGGGCGUAAAGGGAGCGUAGGCGGAUCCACAAGACAGAGGUUAAAUGUUCGGGCUCAACCUGAAAUCUGCCUUUGUGACUGUGGAUCUUGAGUAUGGCAGAGGCUAGUGGAAUUACCUGUGUAGCGGUGGAAUGCGUAGAUAUAGGUAAGAACACCAGAGGCGAAGGCGACUAGCUGGGCCAAUACUGACGCUGAGGCUCGAAAGUGUGGGGAGCAAACAGG
This 253-nucleotide ribosomal RNA is filed under the name uncultured bacterium. RNAcentral describes it as "partial 16S ribosomal RNA". It matches the Rfam family "Bacterial small subunit ribosomal RNA", at positions 524 to 776 of the family's 1533-position model. The record is from RNAcentral.